CACGUGGAUAAUCUACCCAGUAAUCCGGGAUAACAUCUCGAAAGAGAUGCUAAUACCCGAUAAGCCCACGAUCUCUUCGGAGAACGAGGGAAAAGGUGGGGACCUUCGGGCCUGCCGUUGCUGGAUGAGUCCGCGGCCCAUUAGCUAGUUGGUAGGGUAAUGGCCUACCAAGGCUACGAUGGGUAGCUGGUCUGAGAGGAUGAUCAGCCACACUGGAACUGAGACACGGUCCAG
Molecule: ribosomal RNA, 234 nt
Filed under: uncultured bacterium
Lineage: Bacteria
Description: partial 16S ribosomal RNA
Rfam family: Bacterial small subunit ribosomal RNA
Source: RNAcentral